CCGGCCGGCAGGGGUUAAGUCCACUGGAAAGUGGCGCCACAGAGGGUGACAGCCCCGUGAACCCCUUCAACGCCCUCAUCCCAGAUCUCCAAGAGUCGAGUUGUUUGGGAAUGCAGCUCUAAGUGGGUGGUAAAUUCCAUCUAAAGCUAAAUACCGGCGAGAGACCGAUAGCGAACAAGUACAGUGAUGGAAAGAUGAAAAGCACUUUGAAAAGAGAGUGAAAAAGUACGUGAAAUUGUUGAAAGGGAAGGGCUUGCAAGCAGACACUUAACUGGGCCAGCAUCGGGGCGGCGGGGAGCAAAACCACCGGGGAAUGUACCUUUCGAGGAUUAUAACCCCGGCCCUUACUCCCAUACCGCCCCGAGGCCUGCAAUCUAAGGAUGCUGGCGUAAUGGUU
This 397-nucleotide ribosomal RNA is filed under the name Metschnikowia pulcherrima. RNAcentral describes it as "LSU rRNA". It matches the Rfam family "Eukaryotic large subunit ribosomal RNA", at positions 167 to 474 of the family's 3401-position model. The record is from RNAcentral. Lineage: Eukaryota; Fungi; Ascomycota; Pichiomycetes; Serinales; Metschnikowiaceae.